This 423-nucleotide ribosomal RNA is filed under the name uncultured bacterium. RNAcentral's name for it is "bacterial SSU rRNA". It matches the Rfam family "Bacterial small subunit ribosomal RNA", at positions 202 to 622 of the family's 1533-position model. The record is from RNAcentral.
AAGACCUCGCGCUAUUAGAGCGGCCGAUGCCCGAUUAGCUAGUUGGUGAGGUAAUGGCCCACCAAGGCAACGAUCGGUAGCUGGUCUGAGAGGAUGAUCAGCCACACUGGGACUGAGACACGGCCCAGACUCCUACGGGAGGCAGCAGUGGGGAAUUUUGGACAAUGGGCGAAAGCCUGAUCCAGCCAUGCCGCGUGAGUGAAGAGGGCCUUCGGGUUGUAAAGCUCUUUCAGCCAGAACGAAAUCGUCCGGGCUAAUACUCCGGAUGGAUGACGGUACUGGAACAAGAAGCACCGGCUAACUACGUGCCAGCAGCCGCGGUAAUACGUAGGGUGCAGGCGUUAAUCGGAAUUACUGGGCGUAAAGCGUGCGCAGGCGGCUUCCCAAGUCAGAUGUGAAAUCCCCGGGCUUAACCUGGGAACU